GACGAACGCUGGCGGCGUGCUUAACACAUGCAAGUCGAACGGAAAGGCCCUGCUUUUGUGGGGCGCUCGAGUGGCGAACGGGUGAGUAACACGUGAGUAACCUGCCCUUGACUUUGGGAUAACUUCAGGAAACUGGGGCUAAUACCGGAUAGGAGCUCCUGCUGCAUGGUGGGGGUUGGAAAGUUUCGGCGGUUGGGGAUGGACUCGCGGCUUAUCAGCUUGUUGGUGGGGUAGUGGCUUACCAAGGCUUUGACGGGUAGCCGGCCUGAGAGGGUGACCGGCCACAUUGGGACUGAGAUACGGCCCAGACUCCUACGGGAGGCAGCAGUGGGGAAUAUUGCACAAUGGGCGGAAGCCUGAUGCAGCAACGCCGCGUGCGGGAUGACGGACUUCGGGUUGUAAACCGCUUUCGCCUGUGACGAAGCGUGAGUGACGGUAAUGGGUAAAGAAGCACCGGCUAACUACGUG
RNAcentral lists this ribosomal RNA (468 nucleotides) under uncultured bacterium. Its description in RNAcentral is "partial 16S ribosomal RNA". It matches the Rfam family "Bacterial small subunit ribosomal RNA", at positions 28 to 507 of the family's 1533-position model. The record is from RNAcentral.